Molecule: ribosomal RNA, 823 nt
Filed under: Acinetobacter lwoffii
Lineage: Bacteria; Pseudomonadati; Pseudomonadota; Gammaproteobacteria; Moraxellales; Moraxellaceae
Description: bacterial SSU rRNA
Rfam family: Bacterial small subunit ribosomal RNA
Source: RNAcentral
CUGCAAGUCGAGCGGGGAAAAGUAGCUUGCUACUUGACCUAGCGGCGGACGGGUGAGUAAUGCUUAGGAAUCUGCCUAUUAGUGGGGGACAACAUCUCGAAAGGGAUGCUAAUACCGCAUACGUCCUACGGGAGAAAGCAGGGGACCUUCGGGCCUUGCGCUAAUAGAUGAGCCUAAGUCGGAUUAGCUAGUUGGUGGGGUAAAGGCCUACCAAGGCGACGAUCUGUAGCGGGUCUGAGAGGAUGAUCCGCCACACUGGGACUGAGACACGGCCCAGACUCCUACGGGAGGCAGCAGUGGGGAAUAUUGGACAAUGGGGGGAACCCUGAUCCAGCCAUGCCGCGUGUGUGAAGAAGGCCUUUUGGUUGUAAAGCACUUUAAGCGAGGAGGAGGCUACCGAGAUUAAUACUCUUGGAUAGUGGACGUUACUCGCAGAAUAAGCACCGGCUAACUCUGUGCCAGCAGCCGCGGUAAUACAGAGGGUGCAAGCGUUAAUCGGAUUUACUGGGCGUAAAGCGCGCGUAGGUGGCCAAUUAAGUCAAAUGUGAAAUCCCCGAGCUUAACUUGGGAAUUGCAUUCGAUACUGGUUGGCUAGAGUAUGGGAGAGGAUGGUAGAAUUCCAGGUGUAGCGGUGAAAUGCGUAGAGAUCUGGAGGAAUACCGAUGGCGAAGGCAGCCAUCUGGCCUAAUACUGACACUGAGGUGCGAAAGCAUGGGGAGCAAACAGGAUUAGAUACCCUGGUAGUCCAUGCCGUAAACGAUGUCUACUAGCCGUUGGGGCCUUUGAGGCUUUAUUGGCGCACCUACGCGAUAAUAAACCGCUA